CACGUAGGGGGCAAGCGUUGUCCGGAUUCAUUGGGCGUAAAGAGCUCGUAGGCGGUUCGAUAAGUCGGGUGUGAAACCUCCAGGCUCAACCUGGAGACGCCACCCGAUACUGUCGUGACUAGAGUCCAGUAGGGGAGCGUGGAAUUCCUGGUGUAGCGGUGAAAUGCGCAGAUAUCAGGAGGAACACCGGUGGCGAAGGCGGCAUCCUGGACCAACACUGACGCUGAGGAGCGAAAGCCAGGGGAGCAAACGGG
Molecule: ribosomal RNA, 254 nt
Filed under: uncultured bacterium
Lineage: Bacteria
Description: partial 16S ribosomal RNA
Rfam family: Bacterial small subunit ribosomal RNA
Source: RNAcentral